Molecule: long non-coding RNA, 4037 nt
Organism: Anopheles funestus (African malaria mosquito)
Lineage: Eukaryota; Metazoa; Arthropoda; Insecta; Diptera; Culicidae
Exons: 3
Source: RefSeq, a predicted model, not a curated record
AGGUGUCCGUGCCGGAAGUUAUUCGAGGAACCAAGUUACAUACCCUGUUGAGAAAACGUAAAAUUUUCCUCAUUUUUGCACCAAGUUUUGCCUAUAACUCGGUCGGUAUCCAACGGAUCGCCAAUCUUUAACCUGUGGUCAAUAGAUGGCACCAAUGGCUAUAUUUUCUUCUUGGACAGCCAUGCUCUCAGAUGUCUGUGCCGGAAGUUAUUCGAGGAACCAAGUUCCAUACCCUGUUUGAGAAAUUGUAAAAUUUUCCUCAUUUUUGAGCAAUUUAGCAAAAUUUAUAAAUGUGAUAUAUUUUCAUGCAAAUUUGUUGCAAUGUGUUUCUUUUCACUCAAAUAAUGCUUUAAAUUAAAAAAAUAAUAAAAAAUCAGAAAAAAAAUUUUAAAAAAUUUUCAACUCGAAAAUUUCUUAAGGCUUACCCCUUACGAUUUUUUGGGAAAUUUUGCAAAAAAAAAUGAAAUUGAUUUAUUUUAAUGCCAAUUGGUUGCAAUGUGUUUCUUUUCACUCAAGUAAUGAUUUAAAUAAAAAAAUGAGUAAAAAAUAUUAAAAAAAUCAAAAAUUUCAAAAAAAUGAAAAUUUACUAAGGCUCAUUUUUGCACCAAGUUUUGCCUAUAACUCGGUCGGUAUCCAACGGAUCGCCAAUCUUUAACCUGUGAUCGAUAGAUGGCAUCAAUGGCUACAUUUUCUUCUUGAACGGCCAUGCUCUCAGGUGUCCGUGCCGGAAGUUAUUCGAGGAAACAAGUUCCAUACCCUGUUGAGAAAACGUAAAAUUUUCCUCAUUUUUGCACCAAGUUUUGCCUAUAACUCGGUCGGUAUCCAACGGAUCGCCAAUCUUUAACCUGUGAUCGAUAGAUGGCAUCAAUGGCUACAUUUUCUUCUUGAACGGCCAUGCUCUCAGGUGUCCGUGCCGGAAGUUAUUCGAGGAAACAAGUUCCAUACCCUGUUGAGAAAACGUAAAAUUUUCCUCAUUUUUGCACCAAGUUUUGCCUAUAACUCGGUCGGUAUCCAACGGAUCGCCAAUCUUUAACCUGUGAUCGAUAGAUGGCACCAAUGGCUACAUUUUCUUCUUGGACAGCCAUGCUCUCAGGUGUCCGUGCCGGAAGUUAUUCGAGGAAACAAGUUCCAUACCAUGUUGAAAAAACGUAAAAUUUUCCUCAUUUUUGCACCAAGUUUUGCCUAUAACUCGGUCGGUAUCCAACGGAUCGCCAAUCUUUAACCUGUGGUCGAUAGAUGGCACCAAUGGCUAUAUUUUCUUCUUGGACAGCCAUGCUCUCAGAUGUCUGUGCCGGAAGUUAUUCGAGGAACCAAGUUCCAUACCCUGUUUGAGAAAACGUAAAAUUUUCCUCAUUUUUGAGCAAUUUAGCAAAAUUUAUAAAUGUGAUAUAUUUUCAUGCAAAUUUGUUGCAAUGUGUUUCUUUUCACUCAAAUAAUGCUUUAAAUUAAAACAAUAAUAAAAAAUCAGAAAAAAAAUUUUAAAAAAUUUUCAACUCGAAAAUUUCUUAAGGCUUACCCCUUACGAUUUUUUUGGGAAAUUUUGCAAAAAAAAUGAAAUUGAUUUAUUUUAACGCCAAUUGCUUGCAAUGUGUUUCUUUUCACUCAAGUAAUGAUUUAAAUAAAAAAAUGAGUGAAAAAUAUUAAAAAAAUCAAAAAAUUCAAAAAAAUGAAAUUUUACUAAGGCUCAUUUUUGCACCAAGUUUUGCCUAUAACUCGGUCGGUAUCCAACGGAUCGCCAAUCUUUAACCUGUGGACGAUAGAUGGGACCAAUGGCUACAUUUUCUUCUUGAACGGCCAUGCUCUCAGGUGUCCGUGCCGGAAGUUAUUCGAGGAAACAAGUUCCAUACCCUGUUGAGAAAACGUAAAAUUUUCCUCAUUUUUGCACCAAGUUUUGCCUAUAACUCGGUCGGUAUCCAACGGAUCGCCAAUCUUUAACCUGUGAUCGAUAGAUGGCAUCAAUGGCUACAUUUUCUUCUUGAACGGCCAUGCUCUCAGGUGUCCGUGCCGGAAGUUAUUCGAGGAAACAAGUUCCAUACCCUGUUGAGAAAACGUAAAAUUUUCCUCAUUUUUGCACCAAGUUUUGCCUAUAACUCGGUCGGUAUCCAACGGAUCGCCAAUCUUUAACCUGUGAUCGAUAGAUGGCACCAAUGGCUACAUUUUCUUCUUGGACAGCCAUGCUCUCAGGUGUCCGUGCCGGAAGUUAUUCGAGGAAACAAGUUCCAUACCAUGUUGAAAAAACGUAAAAUUUUCCUCAUUUUUGCACCAAGUUUUGCCUAUAACUCGGUCGGUAUCCAACGGAUCGCCAAUCUUUAACCUGUGGUCGAUAGAUGGCACCAAUGGCUAUAUUUUCUUCUUGGACAGCCAUGCUCUCAGAUGUCUGUGCCGGAAGUUAUUCGAGGAACCAAGUUCCAUACCCUGUUUGAGAAAACGUAAAAUUUUCCUCAUUUUUGAGCAAUUUAGCAAAAUUUAUAAAUGUGAUAUAUUUUCAUGCAAAUUUGUUGCAAUGUGUUUCUUUUCACUCAAAUAAUGCUUUAAAUUAAAAAAAUAAUAAAAAAUCAGAAAAAAAAUUCUAAAAAAUUUUCAACUCGAAAAUUUCUUAAGGCUUACCCCUUACGAUUUUUUUGGGAAAUUUUGCAAAAAAAAUGAAAUUGAUUUAUUUUAACGCCAAUUGCUUGCAAUGUGUUUCUUUUCACUCAAGUAAUGAUUUAAAUAAAAAAAUGAGUGAAAAAUAUUAAAAAAAUCAAAAAAUUCAAAAAAAUGAAAAUUUACUAAGGCUCAUUUUUGCACCAAGUUUUGCCUAUAACUCGGUCGGUAUCCAACGGAUCGCCAAUCUUUAACCUGUGGUCGAUAGAUGGCAUCAAUGGCUACAUUUUCUUCUUGAACGGCCAUGCUCUCAGGUGUCCGUGCCGGAAGUUAUUCGAGGAAACAAGUUCCAUACCCUGUUGAGAAAACGUAAAAUUUUCCUCAUUUUUGCACCAAGUUUUGCCUAUAACUCGGUCGGUAUCCAACGGAUCGCCAAUCUUUAACCUGUGGUCGAUAGAUGGCACCAAUGGCUAUAUUUUCUUCUUGGACAGCCAUGCUCUCAGAUGUCUGUGCCGGAAGUUAUUCGAGGAACCAAGUUCCAUACCCUGUUUGAGAAAAUGUAAAAUUUUCCUCAUUUUUGAGCAAUUUAGCAAAAUUUAUAAAUGUGAUAUAUUUUCAUGCAAAUUUGUUGCAAUGUGUUUCUUUUCACUCAAAUAAUGCUUUAAAUUAAAAAAAUAAUAAAAAAUCAGAAAAAAAAUUCUAAAAAAUUUUCAACUCGAAAAUUUCUUAAGGCUUACCCCUUACGAUUUUUUUGGGAAAUUUUGCAAAAAAAAAAUGAAAUUGAUUUAUUUUAAUGCCAAUUGGUUGCAAUGUGUUUCUUUUCACUCAAGUAAUGAUUUAAAUAAAAAAAUGAGUGAAAAAUAUUAAAAAAAUCAAAAAAUUCAAAAAAAUGAAAAUUUACUAAGGCUCAUUUUUGCACCAAGUUUUGCCUAUAACUCGGUCGGUAUCCAACGGAUCGCCAAUCUUUAACCUGUGGUCGAUAGAUGGCAUCAAUGGCUACAUUUUCUUCUUGGACAGCCAUGCUCUCAGGUGUCCGUGCCGGAAGUUAUUCGAGGAAACAAGUUCCAUACCCUGUUUAGAAAACGUAAAAUUUUCCUCAUUUUUGCACCAAGUUUUGCCUAUAACUCGGUCGGUAUCCAACGGAUCGCCAAUCUUUAACCUGUGGUCGAUAGAUGGCACCAAUGGCUAUAUUUUCUUCUUGGACAGCCAUGCUCUCAGAUGUCUGUGCCGGAAGUUAUUCGAGGAACCAAGUUCCAUACCCUGUUUGAGAAAAUGUAAAAUUUUCCUCAUUUUUGAGCAAUUUAGCAAAAUUUAUAAAUGUGAUAUAUUUUCAUGCAAAUUUGUUGCAAUGUGUUUCUUUUCACUCAAAUAAUGCUUUAAAUUAAAAAAAUAAUAAAAAAUCAGAAAAAAAAUUUUAAAAAAUGUUCAACUCGAAAAUUUCAUAAGGCUUACCC